RNAcentral lists this ribosomal RNA (1150 nucleotides) under Virescentia helminthosa. RNAcentral describes it as "partial 28S ribosomal RNA". It matches the Rfam family "Eukaryotic large subunit ribosomal RNA", at positions 29 to 1265 of the family's 3401-position model. The record is from RNAcentral. Lineage: Eukaryota; Rhodophyta; Florideophyceae; Batrachospermales; Batrachospermaceae.
UGAAUUUAAGCAUAUAACUAAGCGGAGGAAAAGAAACUAACUAGGAUUCCCCCAGUAGCGGCGAGCGAAGCGGGAAGAGCCCGGGAUGAAAAUCUCUUCGGAGAGUUGUAGUCUUGAGUACUCUUGGGCGGUCAGUGUGGGUAAAUCAUCUGGGAUGAUGUGCCAUGGAGGGUGAGAGCCCCGUCCAGCCCACACAGGACCCGCCCGCACGAGAGUGCUUCAACCGAGUCGGGUAGCUUGGGAAUGCUGCUCUAAUUGGUGGUAAAUCUCAUCAAAGGCUAAAUAUCGGUGGGAGACCGAUAGCGAACAAGUACCGUGAGGGAAAGAUGGAAAGAACUUUGAAAAGAGAGUGAAAAGCGCUUGAAACCGUCACGAGGGAAGCGAAUUGCGUAAGUGGUGGUAUAGUACUGUUCAGCCACAUUUUCGGUGUGGUGUAUUCUGUACGUACCGUGCGUGCGUGGCUGGGCGGCGUGCGAAUUUGGCACGCUGUUCCUGGUGAGGGCUCCCUGCUUGUCGGGUGAGGACGCACGCAAAAUGACGCAAUACGACCCGUCUUGAAACACGGACCAAGGAGUCUAGCACGGCUGCGAGUCGAAGGGUGUUAAAACCCAAUAAGGGCGCAGUGAAAGCGAUAUGAAAGCAAAUUGGGGAGGCGUUGCGGUUUUAUACCAAAAUGUCCUACCUUGAGCACCUGUGCUGGGACCCGAAAGAUGGUGAACUAUGCCGGAGUAGGGCAAAGCCAGAGGAAACUCUGGUGGAGGCUCGUAGCGAUGCUGACGUGCAAAUCGCUCGUCGAACUUGGGUAUAGGGGCGAAAGACUAAUCGAACCAUCUAGUAGCUGGUUCCCUCCGAAGUUUCUCUCAGGAUAGCGGGCCGACGACGUGUUGUUUUGUGCGGUAAAGCGAAUGAUUAGUGCAUUUGGGGACCGAAGGUCUUCAGGCGAUUCUCAAACUUUAAAUGCGCAAGGGGGCGGCUGCUUGAUUGAGCCUGCUCUUUUAAAAACGUCGGCCCCGUGGGCCACUUUUGGUAAGCAGAACUGGCGAUAAGGGAUGAACCUUAAGCGCGGUUAAGGCGCCGCAUUGCCCGCUUAUAGACCCCACAAAAGGUGUUGAUUCAUCCAGACAGCAGGACGGUGGCCAUGGAAGUCGGA